CAUGCAUGCCUCAGUAUAGGCGAGUGAGCGGCAAAAGCUCAAAUUUGAAAUCCUUCGGGAGUUGUAAUUUGUAGGUUGGGAGACCCCGCGGCUAGUGGCACCAAGUCCCUUGGAACAGGGCGCCUUAGAGGGUGAGAGCCCCGUAGGUACCACAAUACCGUCUUGUGUCUCCUCUCCAAAGAGUCGAGUGGUUUGGGAAUA
Molecule: ribosomal RNA, 201 nt
Filed under: uncultured Candida
Lineage: Eukaryota; Fungi; Ascomycota; Saccharomycetes; Saccharomycetales
Description: partial 26S ribosomal RNA
Rfam family: Eukaryotic large subunit ribosomal RNA
Source: RNAcentral